Molecule: transfer RNA, 67 nt
Filed under: Sminthurides bifidus
Lineage: Eukaryota; Metazoa; Arthropoda; Collembola; Symphypleona; Sminthurididae
Description: tRNA-Ser
Rfam family: tRNA
About the family: Transfer RNA (tRNA) molecules are approximately 80 nucleotides in length. Their secondary structure includes four short double-helical elements and three loops (D, anti-codon, and T loops).
Source: RNAcentral
AAAGAAAGUAGUUCAAUUUUAAGCUUCUAACUUAAAAAUUAAUAAGUUAAAUUCUUAUUUUUCUUUU